GGCCCGGUAUUCCAGCUCCAAUAGCGUAUAUUAAAGUUGUUGCAGUUAAAAAGCUCGUAGUUGAACCUUGGGUCUGGCUGGCCGGUCCGCCUCACCGCGAGUACUGGUCCGGCUGGACCUUUCCUUCUGGGGAACCUCAUGGCCUUCACUGGCUGUGGGGGGAACCAGGACUUUUACUGUGAAAAAAUUAGAGUGUUCAAAGCAGGCCUUUGCUCGAAUACAUUAGCAUGGAAUAAUAGAAUAGGACGUGCGGUUCUAUUUUGUUGGUUUCUAGGACCGCCGUAAUGAUUAAUAGGGAUAGUCGGGGGCGUCAGUAUUCAGCUGUCAGAGGUGAAAUUCUUGGAUUUGCUGAAGACUAACUACUGCGAAAGCAUUCGCCAAGGAUGUUUUCAUUAAUCAGGGAACGAAAGUUAGGGGAUCGAAGACGAUCAGAUACCGUCGUAGUCUUAACCAUAAACUAUGCCGACUAGGGAUCGGGCGGUGUUUCUAUGAUGACCCGCUCGGCACCUUACGAGAAAUCAAAGUUUUUGGGUUCUGGGGGGAGUAUGGUCGCAAGGCUGAAACUUAAAGAAAUGACGGAAGCCACUAGCAAGUCCACCAAUAUUU
RNAcentral lists this ribosomal RNA (606 nucleotides) under Aspergillus sp. Its description in RNAcentral is "SSU rRNA". It matches the Rfam family "Eukaryotic small subunit ribosomal RNA", at positions 573 to 1661 of the family's 1831-position model. The record is from RNAcentral. Lineage: Eukaryota; Fungi; Ascomycota; Eurotiomycetes; Eurotiales; Aspergillaceae.